Molecule: non-coding RNA, 363 nt
Filed under: Ditylum brightwellii
Lineage: Eukaryota; Bacillariophyta; Thalassiosirophyceae; Lithodesmiales; Lithodesmiaceae
Source: RNAcentral
AGAAAAAAAAAAGAAUAGGGAGAAACAACAAGUGCAAACAUAAUUCACAAUGUACCUCCACUCCUACCAAAUACUCUCCCAUUGCUGCUGUUGUUUCCCCUCUUCUAUCUAUUCAAUUAUAUAAGAAAAUAACGAUAAGGGCCACGGCGACGGAUGCUGCUUCAUUAUUAUUCGAAGAAACAGCAGCGCCCGCGAACAAGAGAAUCAAACGCAGUGCAUCAUCGUUUUCGUUAUCAUCACUAUCAUCAUUAUCUACAGGUUCCAUUCAAAGAUUUCAACGUGAAACUGAACUCAAAAUUAAAGUUGAACUCGCAAGGGAACAUGAUUGUGGUAAAGCUGUUGAUAAUAUAGAUAAUAAUAAAA